RNAcentral lists this ribosomal RNA (3008 nucleotides) under Salmonella enterica. RNAcentral's name for it is "23S ribosomal RNA". It matches the Rfam family "Bacterial large subunit ribosomal RNA". Lineage: Bacteria; Pseudomonadati; Pseudomonadota; Gammaproteobacteria; Enterobacterales; Enterobacteriaceae. RNAcentral also lists the same sequence under 1 other name. The record is from RNAcentral.
GGUUAAGCGACUAAGCGUACACGGUGGAUGCCCUGGCAGUCAGAGGCGAUGAAGGGCGUGCUAAUCUGCGAUAAGCGCCGGUAAGGUGAUAUGAACCGUUAUAACCGGCGAUACCCGAAUGGGGAAACCCAGUGUGACUCGUCACACUAUCAUUAACUGAAUCCAUAGGUUAAUGAGGCGAACCGGGGGAACUGAAACAUCUAAGUACCCCGAGGAAAAGAAAUCAACCGAGAUUCCCCCAGUAGCGGCGAGCGAACGGGGAGGAGCCCAGAGCCUGAAUCAGCAUGUGUGUUAGUGGAAGCGUCUGGAAAGGCGCGCGAUACAGGGUGACAGCCCCGUACACAAAAGCGCAUGUGCUGUGAGCUCGAUGAGUAGGGCGGGACACGUGGUAUCCUGUCUGAAUAUGGGGGGACCAUCCUCCAAGGCUAAAUACUCCUGACUGACCGAUAGUGAACCAGUACCGUGAGGGAAAGGCGAAAAGAACCCCGGCGAGGGGAGUGAAAAAGAACCUGAAACCGUGUACGUACAAGCAGUGGGAGCCCCACCACCAAAGCAUUCUCUGGUGUUGAAGGCCCUGCAAAGCAGCAUCGCGGUGGCGGAGCGUCGUUUGCGACGCCCAACACACAAAACAAGCGGUGAGUGCUUUGGGGUGGGGUGACUGCGUACCUUUUGUAUAAUGGGUCAGCGACUUAUAUUCUGUAGCAAGGUUAACCGUAUAGGGGAGCCGGAGGGAAACCGAGUCUUAACCGGGCGUUAAGUUGCAGGGUAUAGACCCGAAACCCGGUGAUCUAGCCAUGGGCAGGUUGAAGGUUGGGUAACACUAACUGGAGGACCGAACCGACUAAUGUUGAAAAAUUAGCGGAUGACCUGUGGCUGGGGGUGAAAGGCCAAUCAAACCGGGAGAUAGCUGGUUCUCCCCGAAAGCUAUUUAGGUAGCGCCUCGUGAAUUCAUCUCCGGGGGUAGAGCACUGUUUCGGCUAGGGGGCCAUCCCGGCUUACCAACCCGAUGCAAACUGCGAAUACCGGAGAAUGUUAUCACGGGAGACACACGGCGGGUGCUAACGUCCGUCGUGAAGAGGGAAACAACCCAGACCGCCAGCUAAGGUCCCAAAGUCAUGGUUAAGUGGGAAACGAUGUGGGAAGGCCCAGACAGCCAGGAUGUUGGCUUAGAAGCAGCCAUCAUUUAAAGAAAGCGUAAUAGCUCACUGGUCGAGUCGGCCUGCGCGGAAGAUGUAACGGGGCUAAACCAUGCACCGAAGCUGCGGCAGCGACGCUUAUGCGUUGUUGGGUAGGGGAGCGUUCUGUAAGCCUGUGAAGGUGGCCUGUGAGGGUUGCUGGAGGUAUCAGAAGUGCGAAUGCUGACAUAAGUAACGAUAAAGCGGGUGAAAAGCCCGCUCGCCGGAAGACCAAGGGUUCCUGUCCAACGUUAAUCGGGGCAGGGUGAGUCGACCCCUAAGGCGAGGCCGAAAGGCGUAGUCGAUGGGAAACGGGUUAAUAUUCCCGUACUUGGUGUUACUGCGAAGGGGGGACGGAGAAGGCUAUGUUGGCCGGGCGACGGUUGUCCCGGUUUAAGCGUGUAGGUGUGUGUUCCAGGUAAAUCCGGUUCACUUUAACACUGAGGCGUGAUGACGAGGCACUACGGUGCUGAAGCAACAAAUGCCCUGCUUCCAGGAAAAGCCUCUAAGCAUCAGGUAACAUCAAAUCGUACCCCAAACCGACACAGGUGGUCAGGUAGAGAAUACCAAGGCGCUUGAGAGAACUCGGGUGAAGGAACUAGGCAAAAUGGUGCCGUAACUUCGGGAGAAGGCACGCUGACAUGUAGGUGAAGUGAUUUACUCAUGGAGCUGAAGUCAGUCGAAGAUACCAGCUGGCUGCAACUGUUUAUUAAAAACACAGCACUGUGCAAACACGAAAGUGGACGUAUACGGUGUGACGCCUGCCCGGUGCCGGAAGGUUAAUUGAUGGGGUCAGCGCAAGCGAAGCUCCUGAUCGAAGCCCCGGUAAACGGCGGCCGUAACUAUAACGGUCCUAAGGUAGCGAAAUUCCUUGUCGGGUAAGUUCCGACCUGCACGAAUGGCGUAAUGAUGGCCAGGCUGUCUCCACCCGAGACUCAGUGAAAUUGAACUCGCUGUGAAGAUGCAGUGUACCCGCGGCAAGACGGAAAGACCCCGUGAACCUUUACUAUAGCUUGACACUGAACAUUGAGCCUUGAUGUGUAGGAUAGGUGGGAGGCUUUGAAGUGUGGACGCCAGUCUGCAUGGAGCCGACCUUGAAAUACCACCCUUUAAUGUUUGAUGUUCUAACGUGGACCCGUGAUCCGGGUUGCGGACAGUGUCUGGUGGGUAGUUUGACUGGGGCGGUCUCCUCCUAAAGAGUAACGGAGGAGCACGAAGGUUGGCUAAUCCUGGUCGGACAUCAGGAGGUUAGUGCAAUGGCAUAAGCCAGCUUGACUGCGAGCGUGACGGCGCGAGCAGGUGCGAAAGCAGGUCAUAGUGAUCCGGUGGUUCUGAAUGGAAGGGCCAUCGCUCAACGGAUAAAAGGUACUCCGGGGAUAACAGGCUGAUACCGCCCAAGAGUUCAUAUCGACGGCGGUGUUUGGCACCUCGAUGUCGGCUCAUCACAUCCUGGGGCUGAAGUAGGUCCCAAGGGUAUGGCUGUUCGCCAUUUAAAGUGGUACGCGAGCUGGGUUUAGAACGUCGUGAGACAGUUCGGUCCCUAUCUGCCGUGGGCGCUGGAGAACUGAGGGGGGCUGCUCCUAGUACGAGAGGACCGGAGUGGACGCAUCACUGGUGUUCGGGUUGUCAUGCCAAUGGCACUGCCCGGUAGCUAAAUGCGGAAGAGAUAAGUGCUGAAAGCAUCUAAGCACGAAACUUGCCCCGAGAUGAGUUCUCCCUGAGACUUUAGGUCUCCUGAAGGAACGUUGAAGACGACGACGUUGAUAGGCCGGGUGUGUAAGCGCAGCGAUGCGUUGAGCUAACCGGUACUAAUGAACCGUGAGGCUUAACCUU